This 513-nucleotide ribosomal RNA is filed under the name uncultured bacterium. RNAcentral's name for it is "partial 16S ribosomal RNA". It matches the Rfam family "Bacterial small subunit ribosomal RNA", at positions 28 to 523 of the family's 1533-position model. The record is from RNAcentral.
GAUGAACGCUGGCGGCAUGCCUAAUACACGCAAGUCGAGCGAACAGAUGAAGUGCUUGCACUUCUGACGUUAGCGGCGAACGGGUGAGUAACACGUAAGGAAUCUACCUAUAAGCGGGGGAUAACAUUCGGAAACGGGUGCUAAUACCGCAUAAUAUCUUCUUCCGCAUGGAAGAAGAUUGAAAGACGGCCCUGCUGUCACUUAUAGAUGACCUUGCGGUGCAUUAGUUAGUUGGUGGGGUAACGGCCUACCAAGACGAUGAUGCAUAGCCGACCUGAGAGGGUGAUCGGCCACAUUGGGACUGAGACACGGCCCAAACUCCUACGGGAGGCAGCAGUAGGGAAUCUUCCGCGAUGGGCGAAAGCCUGACGGAGCAAUGCCGCGUGAGUGAAGAAGGCCUUCGGGUCGUAAAACUCUGUUAUAAGAGAAGAACAAAUUGUAGAGUAACUGCUACAGUCUUGACGGUAUCUUAUCAGAAAGCCACGGCUAACUACGUGCCAGCCGCCGCCGUAA